GUUGGGGUGGCAGAGCCCGGAUACUGCGAAAGACCUAAGCCCUUUGAACAGAGGUUCAAAUCCUCUCCCCAACU
This 74-nucleotide transfer RNA is filed under the name Chiasmodon niger (black swallower). RNAcentral's name for it is "tRNA-Leu". It matches the Rfam family "tRNA". From Rfam's summary of the family: Transfer RNA (tRNA) molecules are approximately 80 nucleotides in length. Their secondary structure includes four short double-helical elements and three loops (D, anti-codon, and T loops). The record is from RNAcentral. Lineage: Eukaryota; Metazoa; Chordata; Actinopteri; Scombriformes; Chiasmodontidae. RNAcentral also lists the same sequence under 2 other names.